UACGGAGGGUGCGAGCGUUGUCCGGAAUCACUGGGCGUAAAGGGCGCGUAGGCGGCGCGGAAAGUCAACGGUGAAAGCUUGGGGCUCAACCCCGAGUCGGCCGUCGAUACUUCCGUGCUCGAGCACUGUAGAGGCAGGUGGAAUUCCGGGUGUAGCGGUGGAAUGCGUAGAGAUCCGGAAGAACACCCGUGGCGAAGGCGGCUCUCUGGAACGCAACUGACGCUGAGACGCGAAAGCGUGGGGAGCAAACAGG
Molecule: ribosomal RNA, 253 nt
Filed under: uncultured bacterium
Lineage: Bacteria
Description: partial 16S ribosomal RNA
Rfam family: Bacterial small subunit ribosomal RNA
Source: RNAcentral